AUUGAACGCUGGCGGCAGGCUUAACACAUGCAAGUCGAGCGGGGGAAGGCAGCUUGCUACCGGACCUAGCGGCGGACGGGUGAGUAAUGCUUAGGAAUCUGCCUAUUAGUGGGGGACAACAUCUCGAAAGGGAUGCUAAUACCGCAUACGUCCUACGGGAGAAAGCAGGGGAUCUUCGGACCUUGCGCUAAUAGAUGAGCCUAAGUCGGAUUAGCUAGUUGGUGGGGUAAAGGCCUACCAAGGCGACGAUCUGUAGCGGGUCUGAGAGGAUGAUCCGCCACACUGGGACUGAGACACGGCCAGACUCCCACGGGAGGCAGCAGUGGGGAAUAUUGGACAAUGGGGGGAACCCUGAUCCAGCCAUGCCGCGUGUGUGAAGAAGGCCUUAUGGUUGUAAAGCACUUUAAGCGAGGAGGAGGCUACUCUAGUUAAUACCUAGGGAUAGUGGACGUUACUCGCAGAAUAAGCACCGGCUAACUCUGUGCCAGCCGCCGCAGUAA
RNAcentral lists this ribosomal RNA (500 nucleotides) under uncultured bacterium. Its description in RNAcentral is "partial 16S ribosomal RNA". It matches the Rfam family "Bacterial small subunit ribosomal RNA", at positions 30 to 523 of the family's 1533-position model. The record is from RNAcentral.